Molecule: ribosomal RNA, 253 nt
Filed under: uncultured bacterium
Lineage: Bacteria
Description: partial 16S ribosomal RNA
Rfam family: Bacterial small subunit ribosomal RNA
Source: RNAcentral
UACGUAGGGGGCUAGCGUUGUCCGGAAUCAUUGGGCGUAAGGAGCGUGUAGGCGGCCCGGUAAGUCCGCUGUGAAAGUCGGGGGCUCAACCCUCGAAUGCCGGUGGAUACUGUCGGGCUAGAGUGCGGAAGAGGCGAGUGGAAUUCCUGGUGUAGCGGUGAAAUGCGCAGAUAUCAGGAGGAACACCAAUUGCGAAGGCAGCUCGCUGGGACGUAACUGACGCUGAGGCACGAAGGCCAGGGGAGCAAACGGG